AACGAACGCUGGCGGCAUGCCUAACACAUGCAAGUCGAACGAGACCUUCGGGUCUAGUGGCGCACGGGUGCGUAACGCGUGGGAACCUGCCCUUAGGUUCGGACUAACUCCCCGACAGGGGUGCUAAUACCGGAUAAUGUCUUCGGACCAAAGAUUUAUCGCCUUUGGUUGGGCCCGCGUUGGAUUAGCUAGUUGGUAGGGUAAAAGCCUACCAAGGCGACGAUCCAUAGCUGGUCUGAGAGGAUGAUCAGCCACACUGGGACUGAGACACGGCCCAGACUCCUACGGGAAGCAGCAGUGGGGAAUAUUGGACAAUGGGCGAAAGCCUGAUCCAGCAAGGCCGCGUGAGUGAUGAAGGCCUUAGGGUUGUAAAGCUCUUUUACCCGGGAUGAUAAUGACAGUACCGGGAGAAUAAGCUCCGGCUAACUCCGUG
This 433-nucleotide ribosomal RNA is filed under the name uncultured bacterium. RNAcentral describes it as "partial 16S ribosomal RNA". It matches the Rfam family "Bacterial small subunit ribosomal RNA", at positions 29 to 507 of the family's 1533-position model. The record is from RNAcentral.